GGCUAGCUAGCUCAGUUGGUUAGAGCCUGGUGCUAAUAAUACCAAGGUCAUGGGUUCAAGCCCCAUGCUGACUA
RNAcentral lists this transfer RNA (74 nucleotides) under Pelodiscus sinensis (Chinese soft-shelled turtle). It matches the Rfam family "tRNA". Rfam says of the family: Transfer RNA (tRNA) molecules are approximately 80 nucleotides in length. Their secondary structure includes four short double-helical elements and three loops (D, anti-codon, and T loops). The record is from Rfam by way of RNAcentral. Lineage: Eukaryota; Metazoa; Chordata; Testudines; Trionychidae.